AUGGAGUAUGUCCUGGAGACAAUCUAUCGCAUGCUUAAGAACUACAGUACUGCCAAACAGGGGAUGUCACUUAUCUAUGUCAAGAUUUACACCUAUCAGGUUUGUGAAUUGCCAGUGAAUAAAUGUGAAAUGUGUGCCUGCCAUUGUGCAACUAUUCUAGAACAUUGGUGGCGGCUAUUCAGGGGGCUCACACACAUUCAUACUGUUUCUGGAGUCUGUCACAAGGAUGUGAAGCCACAAAAUGUUUUGUUGGGCAGGGCCUUUGGAUGGGAAUCAUCUUCAGUAUUCUUGUUCAGGUCUUGCUGUUCGUAG
Molecule: ribosomal RNA, 312 nt
Filed under: Triticum aestivum (bread wheat)
Lineage: Eukaryota; Viridiplantae; Streptophyta; Magnoliopsida; Poales; Poaceae
Description: partial small subunit ribosomal RNA
Source: RNAcentral